CUCCACAAAGGCGUAGUUCAAGCUGCCGUAGAUUGGCUUCCUCUCCCCACUGGGAUUCCGGAGCACGCUGUCGCCCAAGUGCAUCUUGUAGCUGUUGGUCACAUUGCGCCACGGCAGGCUAUCUACGGAUAAAUCCCCUGAAGAAACUCACAAAGUUAUCGCCGAAGAUCAUGACCACGCAGGUGAAGAGAUUGUCGGACACCGCAUUGACCAGAUCCGUGUGGCGGAAGUGGCAGAGCUCCGUCUUCUCGCGUUCCACAUUGGUGGCCUUGGCUAUGUAGGUCAGCCGCUCCUUGGGAUUCAGCUCGGCGGCGUAGUUCUUGAGCACCGUGUGGUAGGGCACCCAGGCCAGGACCGAAUCCGCUUCAUUGGCACACACCUCCGCCUGGACACCGCGUCCACUCAGCUCCCCGUUGUGCAGCCGCAGGAAGUGGUGGUUGUCCCGCUUGACCGUCGUGGAGCCGUGAUCCGUGCACAGGGUGUCCACGAGACUCGCCUGCGAAUCAGCCAGAUAAAAGUUUAGACGGGAAACAAGCACCUCGAUCGCCGGCUUAUCUCAGCUCCGUCGGCAUUAUCUUCCCCAGCUACGAUGGACACUUUGUCUCUUUAUCGUCAAGCUAAUUCAAUUUGGAAUAUCAGCCACUCGAAGGUGGCACACGAAUAAUUUAUGGCUGGCAUUGGAUUCGUCACUUAAGGAUGUCGAUGAGCUAAACUCGUUUGGACGAAACGGAAUUCAAAGCCAUUUAAGGCUGAAAGUUUUCAUCUGCUUGAGGUCACUCUUUACAAAAAUGGAUAAAUGUAAUUCACUUUUGGUCACCUAAUCAUAAAACUAAAUAAGUUUUAUUUUAGACUGGCUUUUUGGAGGAUUUUAAAAUGUAUGUUAAGAGUAAAGAUUUUAGAGAAUUGUUUCGAUUAGAAAUAUAAACUUGAAUUUAAUUAAAUGUGAGCAAAAAUUCGAAAUGUCAAAGAUUUAACAACAAGGAAAAUAUUUUGAAAUGUCUAUUUAAGUAGAUUGAAAGAAAGAUAUGAAACCGACUUAAAUGCAAAGUAGAUAAGCAAUUAAUUAUUAUUUCCUGCUUUCGGAGUGUGGGAUACUGCAAAAUGUAUCAUCCAAUAGUAUCUUUAAAAAUACUAAUACAAUUUUUUAAACCUUGUAUAAUAACUACAAA
Molecule: long non-coding RNA, 1169 nt
Organism: Drosophila suzukii
Lineage: Eukaryota; Metazoa; Arthropoda; Insecta; Diptera; Drosophilidae
Source: RefSeq, a predicted model, not a curated record